CUGGGAGGAGAGUCAACCCAGCAAAGGAAGAGCAAGCAUGCGUGCUCACCUCUGCCUUUCAUGGUAGUGAGGAUGUGGAGGUUUUAUCUGGAUUUCUGAAGACAGGAAAACGCCAGUUUUCAGAAACUGUUACAAACAUCCCGCUUUCGUGCGCUGAGUGACUGAGGCCAUCCGAAGCUUACGUCCUCUGAUAACCGACUGGAGCAGCCCCACUGCUCGGGAAUGUGCUGCCUCAGGAAUCCUGCCUGAGGCCUUCAUGCUCCCGUUACCCCAGUGAGAUUUUACUCUCGCUAUUCCGCCAGCUAAGUGUCCACAGAGCCCUGUUUUCCCACCACUCAGUGAAGACUAGUCACCUCCUCCAGGGAGCGGCAGAUGAUACGACACUGGCACCAAUUCUUCAACUGGAAGAAAUACAGGAACGAUAUACAAAUCCAAGGAGAGCCACUGCCUCAAACAGCCCAGCAGCCUCCCUGAGACAAGGACACGCAGAGCCUGGCAGCCUGCUCGGCAGAGUGGAAGAAGGGGAAAUGCAGGGAGAACCUCUAAAUUCCUGUCCUGAUCAAUUACUCUGAAAACAACAGACGCACCUGCAGAGGCCACGGAACCUCAUACAGACAGUAGAAGCUUCGAGUCAAAGACAAUUAUUCAGGAAAGAGGCCGCGAACAGGAUGUUCACCGCUGACCAGCGAAAGCUGGGCCUUACCUGGCCUCCCCAGGCAUCUCUGGGAACGCGCAAGUGAAGCAUCUUCCUUUCUAACCUACGCGAAGGGGCCGUGGGGACCGUCUUUAAGCACCCGAGCCCUUCUGUCUUUGUGUCCCAUCUACGUCUUUACCCUCGGUCAAAGUCAAAGAGCUGAUAAAAGGCAUGCGCUCCACAUUCUUUCCCUGGCUAUACUUAGACCUUGUCAGUCUAAGUAAAUGUUUACUCUCUACAAAAUUUUAACAGUGUUACUGAAAUAUUCAUAUGCACGAAAUUCCCCCGCGUCAAGGGUAGUCAGAGGUUUCUGUAGACCCACAGAUGCGCCCAGUCCUCAGCACCGUCUAAUUUUAGCCUGUUUUCAUCACCCCAAACAUACACAGGCCCAUUACAGCCACUCUCCCCCCCUGCACCUCCAGACCGAGGCCGCCACUGCCCUGCUUUCUGUUGUAAUGAAGUUGUUUAUUCUGUACAUCUUAGGUAAGUAGAAUUAUAAAAUACGUGGCCUUAUGUAACUGAAUCCUUUAACUUUGUAGAAUGUGUUCACGGUUGAUCCAUGUUGCUGCAAGCAUCAGCCAUUUAAUUCUCUUUGAUAAAUAACAUUCUGUCUCAUGGGUACACCGUAUUUUGCUGGACAUUUGGGGAUUUCUACUUUUUGGCCAUUAUAAAUGCUGCCACUACGAACAUGAAUGUACAA
Long non-coding RNA from Tupaia belangeri chinensis (Chinese tree shrew), 1394 nucleotides. RefSeq lists it as uncharacterized. Lineage: Eukaryota; Metazoa; Chordata; Mammalia; Scandentia; Tupaiidae. The transcript is spliced from 3 exons. The record is from RefSeq and is a predicted model, not a curated record.